Molecule: ribosomal RNA, 372 nt
Filed under: uncultured organism
Description: partial 16S ribosomal RNA
Rfam family: Bacterial small subunit ribosomal RNA
Source: RNAcentral
GUAGGUGGCAAGCGUUGUCCGGAAUUAUUGGGCGUAAAGCGCUCGCAGGGCGGUCCUUUAAGUCUGAUGUGAAAGCCCACGGCUCAACCGUGGAGGGUCAUUGGAAACUGGGGGACUUGAGUACAGAAGAGGAAAGCGGAAUUCCAAGUGUAGCGGUGAAAUGCGUAGAGAUUUGGAGGAACACCAGUGGCGAAGGCGGCUUUCUGGUCUGUAACUGACGCUGAGGCGCGAAAGCGUGGGGAGCAAACAGGAUUAGAUACCCUGGUAGUCCACGCCGUAAACGAUGAGUGCUAAGUGUUAGGGGGUUUCCGCCCCUUAGUGCUGCAGCUAACGCAUUAAGCACUCCGCCUGGGGAGUACGGCCGCAAGGCUG